GACGAACCGUGCGAACGUUGUUCGGAAUUACUGGGCGUAAAGCGCGCGUAGGCGGCUUUGUAAGUUAGAGGUGAAAGCCCGGGGCUCAACCCCGGAAUUGCCUUUAAGACUGCAUCGCUUGAAUCCGGGAGAGGUGAGUGGAAUUCCGAGUGUAGAGGUGAAAUUCGUAGAUAUUCGGAAGAACACCAGUGGCGAAGGCGGCUCACUGGACCGGCAUUGACGCUGAGGUGCGAAAGCGUGGGGAGCAAACAGG
This 253-nucleotide ribosomal RNA is filed under the name uncultured bacterium. RNAcentral's name for it is "partial 16S ribosomal RNA". It matches the Rfam family "Bacterial small subunit ribosomal RNA", at positions 524 to 776 of the family's 1533-position model. The record is from RNAcentral.